CUCACCUGUUCUCGGUCCUUUGUUCAUGGCCCAUCCCCACAAGGUCGCAUGCUCCUGAGGGCAAGGAGUGUCCUCUGUGCUCUUCCAACCCAGAGCAGGGACUCGGUGACAAACCGGUUUUCUGUAAGAAGGCAGGAGGGAGGCGUCAGGCAGCGGUCUCAUGCCCUGAGACGAUGAGGAGGAGACCAGGUCUUCUCAGUCCAGGUUGUAGGAGGUGGGUGGGGUGGGGGUGGGGGUCCUGUGAGGGACAAAGCAGGAUGUGAUGCUCCAAGCACUUGGCCCAGAGAGUGCGGUCCCUGAGGCUGGGCAGGUGAAUCUGGAACAAAAAUGGGACCUAUCCUGUCAGUCAGGAGGAGCCCAUCCUGUGUUUAUUGCUGAAAAGUCUUUGAAAAGCCUCAGGGUCGCCAUGCCCCUAUGUUGUGAGGAGGGGCUGGGCAGCCCAGUCAGGCCCAGGCCUUCCCCCCCACCCCGACAGCCACCUGGUGACAGUAGGGAGGUGGAGGGUGGUUCCUGAGCGGGCACGCUGCAAGGCUGACUGACCCUUCGGAUCAGGGGGGGUUCUUGCCGAUCCCCAUCACAAGAUGUUGCUGCCCUGAGAUCACGGAACUACACUGAUGGAGAAACAGAACCACAGAGGAAGAAGAGGAUCUCACGGCCUCAGAGGGACUUCACUCUGCGUGGGAAGGACAUGCCCCUUGGACACCCCCACACACCAGACACUGGGAUUGCAGUGAGUGAGUAAAAACUAGACAGUGGCUGUGUCUCCCUGCUCUGUGGUGUGAGUUACAGGGCUGAGCAAUGCCCCGUAACUGGGACAAACAGAAGACACGCUGAGCUCAUAAAUCUUUCUUCUUGGCCUGGUGUGAAUCAAGAGGCUAUUUUCCAGAAAUGAGCAUCCACAGACUUUUGAGGCCUUUCUCCCAAAAGACUGUGAUAUUCUCCUGCUGUCUGGAGUGAAUGCCAUCUAAAUCCAGCUUUCCCACAAUGUAACUGGCAGACAGUGUCACCCCCAGAGAUCUGGAGAUUUAGGAGGGGUCUGAUUCGAGCACAGAGGUGCUCUGGGAAAUGGAAUCAAGUGUCUGGGCCUGUGUGGUCACCACAGCGUCUCCGUACCUGCUUCUGGGUGUAUUUCUGGGAAAGACCAACGUGCUGACCUAUCACCUGGGAGAUGUGGAUGACUGCUUGAAAAUCUGAUUUGAAGGCCCCCCACCCCAACCCAACGUGCCUACAGAGUGACACCUCUGUGGUCCCCCGUACUUGGGGAGCACAUGGGCCGUGCUUGCGCCCUUGUGUGGACAGAAGAGGUUUCCUGGCCUGGCUCAAUAGAGACAGGGAGAGGGGAGGGAAAGAGGGAGGGACCGGUCCAGCCCAACACUCAUAAAACCUCUUCAUCUGCGUGUUUAUGGGCCCAAGUUCCUGUGGUGAGCCUUUAAAGUCACACAGCAGGCUCCUGUGUGCUCAUGAGAUCCCACCCAUCUGUGAUACGUUGCCCUUAGCAACACUUGCUGCCCAGGCCACUCUGGUCCCCUCCCAUGUCACGGCCAUUGGGCGACAGGGAAGCAAGGGGCUGGAGAGUUCAGGGAUAGUCCUAGCGCUGAGUGAGGGUGGAGCUGGGGGUGCAGGUCCCUGGGCUGGGGGUGCUGCUGGGCACAGGUUCCCCAGCUUCUUGGGGAGAUUCCACAUUCUCUCAUUAUCUUCUGCCCAACUACCUGGCGGAGGGCAGGCAUCCCUGGUGACAUCCCAGGGUCCCCAAGCUAUGUCCCAGCUCUUCCUCAUUCCAGAGAAAGUGUGUGGAAUAGGGUUGCCAGACAAGUCACAGAUAGCCCAGCUAAAUUUGAAUUUGUUGAAAAACAAGUAGUUUUUUUAGUACAAGUAUUUCCCAUAUAUUGCAUAUAAUUUUUUAUGCUAAAAAAUUAUUUGUUUAUCUGAAAUUCAAAUUUAACAGGCUGUCCUGUGAUUUCAUUUGUUGAAUUUGGUCACCUUAACUUGUAAGGAACCACAGUUACUGCUGCAGGUCACUGAAAGCCCUCCCUGGGUUCCAGGCGCUGGGCUGAGCCUUUGCAUGUGUUAUUCAUUUAAACCUUAUCAAUUCACUGCAUCCCAAACUUGGAUGAUUUACUUACCACUUUCAAGAUGUUUGCCGUAUCUUUUGCACACUGCUGGUACUAUUUUUUAUUUAAUUCUUUUCUUUAGAUCAAUUUCCUUUUUCUAAAAAAAAAAGUAGUUUUAAAUGAAAUCUUAUAUGCACUAUGAAUUGUCAUAAUAGUUGCACAAUUAACACAAUAUGAUCAUGGUAUUGCCUGCUGGAUACUCUUGCCUGCGGGAAGAUUGGAGGCUGUGGUAUUCUGAGGUAUUUUAAUCACUGCUUGAGAGGUCCAGACUCCUGCCGGAGCUGAUACUGUUCUCUACCAUCGUCUCACCUUCCUCGCUGGAAGUCUUCAUCCUCCGAGAAAGGCUAGAAAUGCUAUAUUGUACCCCCUUUCCCAGCCUCCCUUCAGCCAACAGGGGGUUAUGGCCCAGCUGUCACCAUGGAUAUCGAAAUUAAAACCUCUGGAAGCUUCUGGGAAAGAUUUAAAAAACAAACAAACAAACCUUGGAAGCAAGCUUAAUGCCCAUCAGAAAAUGAAUGGAUAAAGAAAAUGUGGUAUAUACAUAAAAGAGAAUUAUUCAGCCUUAAAAAAGGAAAUCCUGUCAUAUGCUACAACAUGGAUGACGAACCUAAAGAACAUUAUGCUAAGUGAAAUAAACCAGUUACAAAAAGACAAAUACGGCAUGAUUCCACCUAUAUUUAUGUGAAAUAUCUAAGGCAGUCAAACUCUUAGAAACAGAAACUAGAAUGGUCUCCGCAGGGACUGGGGGGAGAGGAAAACAAGGGGUGAUUCAUUAGGUCUAGUAUUUCAGUUUUGCAGGAUGAAAAAGUGCUAGAGAGUUUUUGUAUAACAGUACACAGAAGCAAUUGUUCUGAGCACCUAAAAAUGGCUAACAUGGCAAAUGUUAUAUAUAUAUUUUAACACAAUAAGAAAAUUUUGUAAUUGGACAGUGACAAUUAUUGUACAAUUUUGUAAAUCACUAAAUGGUUUGCUUUAAAAUGGUCAUUUUAUGUGAAUUUCACUUCAAUAAAAUUUUUUGUGUGUGCAUGUCUUACAACAAAC
Long non-coding RNA from Manis javanica (Malayan pangolin), 3152 nucleotides. RefSeq lists it as uncharacterized. Lineage: Eukaryota; Metazoa; Chordata; Mammalia; Pholidota; Manidae. The record is from RefSeq and is a predicted model, not a curated record.